RNA transcript from Setaria italica (foxtail millet), 648 nucleotides. RefSeq lists it as uncharacterized. NCBI's taxonomy places the organism in Eukaryota, Viridiplantae, Streptophyta, Magnoliopsida, Poales, Poaceae. The record is from RefSeq and is a predicted model, not a curated record. The transcript is spliced from 3 exons.
UGGAAGAAGAUGUGGUUUUAUGUUGGGAACCAAGGAUCGUCACUACCAGAGGUUACAGGCCAUGCCCCAAAACAUUUGGAGAAGUGGGCAGCCGAAGCGGAUGAGGGCAAUGAGGAAGUUGCUUGUUUGUUGAAAAGAAUCGGUGCUUUGAAGGCAGCUGGCUUAACUAGGGUUAAUGUGGCCGCAAGCUUUUUGAAGCACAGGAUCCAGCCUCUGAAGGGACGUGAUCGGAAGGGUCACGAGUACUUGGAUUUCAGCGAUCCAACUCGUAUGUCUCUGGACGAUAUUACGAAUGAUGAAGUUGAGGCAAUCCUGGGGAAAAUGUUUAAACCUUUCCAUGGGGUGCCAGUAGUCGAAGAUACCGUCAGACAAUUUGAUCAUUGGUAUGUACCCAACCAGUCUCACAUUUUGACCGAGUACUGGACCCGUGCGGAUAAGUCCAAGGGAGUUAGCGAGAAUGAGCCUCAAGCUCCUUCGGCUAAAAAGCGGCGAUUGGCUGUGAAGAAGCAAGGAGCUUGGAAAUAGAAGGUGUCCGAGGCUGCUAACUUGGUACAUGCAGCUGACGACGUCGCUCCCCCCUGUAGUAGUCGAGGCCACUGAAGGAGUCACGAGCGCCACUGAGGCCUUGUUUAGUUGAUAAAAUUUGGA